This 374-nucleotide ribosomal RNA is filed under the name uncultured organism. RNAcentral's name for it is "bacterial SSU rRNA". It matches the Rfam family "Bacterial small subunit ribosomal RNA", at positions 526 to 896 of the family's 1533-position model. The record is from RNAcentral.
CAGAGACUGCAAGCGUUAUUCGGAUUCACUGGGCGUAAAGGGUGCGCAGGCGGCCGUGUGUGUGAGGCGUGAAAGCCCGGGGCUUAACCCCGGAAUUGCACCUCAAACUACAUGGCUAGAGCAUUGGAGAGGGUAGCAGAAUUCAUGGUGUAGCAGUGAAAUGCGUAGAUAUCAUGAGGAAUACCAGAGGCGAAGGCGGCUACCUGGACAAUUGCUGACGCUCAGGCACGAAAGCGUGGGGAGCAAAAAGGGAUUAGAUACCCCUGUAGUCCACGCCCUAAAACGGUGCACACUAGGUCUUGGCGGAUUCGACCCCAUCAGGGCCCAAGCUAACGCGUUAAGUGUGCCGCCUGAGGACUACGGCCGCAAGGCUA